Molecule: small nucleolar RNA, 136 nt
Organism: Nannospalax galili (Upper Galilee mountains blind mole rat)
Lineage: Eukaryota; Metazoa; Chordata; Mammalia; Rodentia; Spalacidae
Gene: SNORA70
Rfam family: Small nucleolar RNA SNORA70
About the family: snoRNA U70 seems to be exclusive to mammals and is a member of the H/ACA class of snoRNA which contain H (ANANNA) and ACA box motifs. H/ACA box snoRNAs are involved in the conversion of uridines to pseudouridines (5-ribosyluracil) a constituent of structural RNAs (transfer, ribosomal, small nuclear, and small nucleolar).
Source: Ensembl
AUGAAACAUUUUAAAUUAAGCUGACCAGGCUCCUCUCCUCAUGGACGCUCAGUGUGCAGUAGCAACAAACAGCAGCCUUUGUGGUAGUGUAUGAAGCCUGAUGCUUGUGUGGCACAGAAGGAUCUUGGAGACAGUG